Molecule: ribosomal RNA, 670 nt
Filed under: Pseudomonas sp. AR-338
Lineage: Bacteria; Pseudomonadati; Pseudomonadota; Gammaproteobacteria; Pseudomonadales; Pseudomonadaceae
Description: bacterial SSU rRNA
Rfam family: Bacterial small subunit ribosomal RNA
Source: RNAcentral
GACGGGUGAGUAAUGCCUAGGAAUCUGCCUGGUAGUGGGGGACAACGUUUCGAAAGGAACGCUAAUACCGCAUACGUCCUACGGGAGAAAGCAGGGGACCUUCGGGCCUUGCGCUAUCAGAUGAGCCUAGGUCGGAUUAGCUAGUUGGUGGGGUAAUGGCUCACCAAGGCGACGAUCCGUAACUGGUCUGAGAGGAUGAUCAGUCACACUGGAACUGAGACACGGUCCAGACUCCUACGGGAGGCAGCAGUGGGGAAUAUUGGACAAUGGGCGAAAGCCUGAUCCAGCCAUGCCGCGUGUGUGAAGAAGGUCUUCGGAUUGUAAAGCACUUUAAGUUGGGAGGAAGGGCAGUAAGCGAAUACCUUGCUGUUUUGACGUUACCGACAGAAUAAGCACCGGCUAACUCUGUGCCAGCAGCCGCGGUAAUACAGAGGGUGCAAGCGUUAAUCGGAAUUACUGGGCGUAAAGCGCGCGUAGGUGGUUUGUUAAGUUGGAUGUGAAAGCCCCGGGCUCAACCUGGGAACUGCAUCCAAAACUGGCAAGCUAGAGUACGGUAGAGGGUGGUGGAAUUUCCUGUGUAGCGGUGAAAUGCGUAGAUAUAGGAAGGAACACCAGUGGCGAAGGCGACCACCUGGACUGAUACUGACACUGAGGUGCGAAAGCGUGGGGA